This is a long non-coding RNA of Osmia lignaria (orchard mason bee), 901 nucleotides long. RefSeq lists it as uncharacterized. The record is from RefSeq and is a predicted model, not a curated record. NCBI's taxonomy places the organism in Eukaryota, Metazoa, Arthropoda, Insecta, Hymenoptera, Megachilidae.
CGACAUUUUUACAAUUAUAACAAAUGAUUUAUUUAUGACAGAAGCUUUUCAAACAACGCCAUCUGCAACUUAUGUUAGUUAACGUGACACGGAACUUAAGUUUUUGGUCAAAUAUAAUUUCAGGUAUUAUAUUUGAUUUUGAAAAUUGCUGCCAUAUAUAUGUAUAUGUAGCAAUAAACAAAUUCCCGCAAAGUAUACGAUUCUUAACACGUUGAGUGGCGUCAGGGUCAGCAAUGAGCAGUACUACAAUUUAAUGCAUUUGAAUGAUUUAAAAAAUAUUUAAUAGCAAACAGAUGCAGGACGAAUUCUGUAUGUCCUUGAGAGUGUUUUUUCCUCUCUCUCUCAAAAUCGUCGUAUGCUUUCGUAGUAUCUAUACCUAUCUCCGUCUGUCGCACACUUUUUGUUUUACGACCAUGAGAAUCAACCGAUCUCUUUCUCUCCGAACAACCUUAAAGACUGUUCUGGAGAAUGUAAACUUGCGUAUCGUGCAGAGCCUGACAAGCAGCAGGAUAUGCGAAACAAUGGUAACAAAAAGUAGGUCGAGUUAGAGUAAAAACAAAUGACAAAUUCAAGCUGUGUUUGACACAGCUCUCCUGGUGAAUUUGAAUGUCUACGAUGAAGUCAAUGUUAUUUCUUGUAAAUUCUUACUUUUUAAUUAGUUUAAAAAUGAUAAAAGUAAAAACAAGUUUUUGUUUCUUUUAAAAUCUUCCAGAAAGGUAGGAAAUUAUUUUAUCGCAUUAAAUAAUUUGCAGAACUACUUGCAUAUGGUAAAGUUAAAUAACUGUGUGGGAAGAAUUAUGUAAUUUGUACAGCUAAAAGAAAUUAUGUUUUAAUGACAGUAUGUUUAAACAAUGAACAGAUUAAUAAGAUAAUAAAACAAUUAAAAUGUAAAUUAAUGUGA